UACGUAGGGGGCAAGCGUUGUCCGGAAUCAUUGGGCGUAAAGCGCGUGUAGGCGGCUAGGUAAGUCUGCUCUGAAAGCCCGGGGCUCAACCCCGGGAGGCGGGUGGAUACUGUCUAGCUCGAGUCCGGAAGAGGAGUGUGGAAUUCCUGGUGUAGCGGUGAAAUGCGCAGAUAUCAGGAGGAACACCAAUGGCGAAGGCAGCUCACUGGGACGAUACUGACGCUGAGGAGCGAAAGCCAGGGGAGCAAACGGG
Molecule: ribosomal RNA, 253 nt
Filed under: uncultured bacterium
Lineage: Bacteria
Description: partial 16S ribosomal RNA
Rfam family: Bacterial small subunit ribosomal RNA
Source: RNAcentral